Triticum dicoccoides is the source of this 440-nucleotide long non-coding RNA. RefSeq lists it as uncharacterized. The transcript is spliced from 2 exons. Lineage: Eukaryota; Viridiplantae; Streptophyta; Magnoliopsida; Poales; Poaceae. The record is from RefSeq and is a predicted model, not a curated record.
CUGGCCGUCCGGUGGCAGCACCGCAACAAACAUGCAAAUCAAUUUAAGGAAUUUUGAAGAAUGAAGAGGGCCGGAGACAUUGUUUCUCUUUUCCAGAGAGAAGCUAUGAAGAUAGGGAAGAAGAAGGCAAUGAAUUUGUCAAAUGUGGCCGAAGAGCAAGCCAGAGAACUUUUGUGUAUGCCGGUUGUGAUUGAAGAGCAAACUCAAGAACCAACAAUGUCUAUGUCAAAUGUGGCUGAAGAGCAAGCCGAAGAACUUGUGUGUAGGCCUUGAAAAUCUUGUUGAUCUCUAGGUUAAGCUUGUUCAAACAGGGAGACAUAUAGUUCAUCAUUUGGUGUACUUCCUUCUAAAAUUGGUAUUGAUUCUACCAGUGGCAACAACAAAUGUUGAGAGAGCAUUUUCUGCCAUGGGUAUAGUGAAGAGCAAGUUGAGAAAUAAGA